Molecule: small RNA, 121 nt
Filed under: Oxobacter pfennigii
Lineage: Bacteria; Bacillati; Bacillota; Clostridia; Eubacteriales; Clostridiaceae
Description: c-di-AMP sequence
Rfam family: c-di-AMP riboswitch aptamer (ydaO/yuaA leader)
About the family: This family represents a conserved RNA structure found upstream of the ydaO and yuaA genes in Bacillus subtilis and related genes in other bacteria. The ydaO/yuaA element is thought to act as a genetic "off" switch for the ydaO and yuaA genes in its native state.
Source: RNAcentral
AUUAAGAAUAAGCCGAAGUUUAAUAAAACACGGGGGAACCAAAUUUGGGGUGAAUCGCGAAAGCGUAGGUUAUGCCUUUACCGAACCCGUCAGCUAACCUCGUAGGCAAAAGGGGGUAUAC